Molecule: ribosomal RNA, 503 nt
Filed under: uncultured bacterium
Lineage: Bacteria
Description: partial 16S ribosomal RNA
Rfam family: Bacterial small subunit ribosomal RNA
Source: RNAcentral
AUUGAACGCUGGCGGCAGGCUUAACACAUGCAAGUCGAGCGGGGUGAUGGUGCUUGCACUAUCACUUAGCGGCGGACGGGUGAGUAAUGCUUAGGAAUCUGCCUAUUAGUGGGGGACAACAUCUCGAAAGGGACGCUAAUACCGCAUACGUCCUACGGGAGAAAGCAGGGGAUCACUUGUGACCUUGCGCUAAUAGAUGAGCCUAAGUCGGAUUAGCUAGUUGGUGGGGUAAAGGCCUACCAAGGCGACGAUCUGUAGCGGGUCUGAGAGGAUGAUCCGCCACACGGGGACGGAGACACGGCCCAGACUCCUACGGGAGGCAGCAGUGGGGAAUAUUGGACAAUGGGGGGAACCCUGAUCCAGCCAUGCCGCAUGUGUGAAGAAGGCCUUAUGGUUGUAAAGCACUUUAAGCGAGGAGGAGGCUCUUUUGGUUAAUACCCAAGGUGAGUGGACGUUACUCGCAGAAUAAGCACCGGCUAACUCUGUGCCAGCCGCCGCCGUAA